GUGCUUGCUUCAGCAGCACAUAUACUAAAAUUGGAACAAUACAAAGAAGAUUAGCAAGGCCCCUGUGCAAGGAUGAUACACAAAUUCAUAAAGCGUUCUAUAUUAAA
RNAcentral lists this small nuclear RNA (107 nucleotides) under Erinaceus europaeus (western European hedgehog). The record is from RNAcentral. Lineage: Eukaryota; Metazoa; Chordata; Mammalia; Eulipotyphla; Erinaceidae.